UGUAAUGUAGUUUAUUAAAAAUGUUUAUUUUACACGUAAGAGAACUCGUUUGGAGCUUUACUA
Molecule: transfer RNA, 63 nt
Filed under: Anoplocephala magna
Lineage: Eukaryota; Metazoa; Platyhelminthes; Cestoda; Cyclophyllidea; Anoplocephalidae
Description: tRNA-Val
Source: RNAcentral